This 879-nucleotide ribosomal RNA is filed under the name Agaricus matrum. Its description in RNAcentral is "eukaryotic LSU rRNA". It matches the Rfam family "Eukaryotic large subunit ribosomal RNA", at positions 72 to 938 of the family's 3401-position model. The record is from RNAcentral. Lineage: Eukaryota; Fungi; Basidiomycota; Agaricomycetes; Agaricales; Agaricaceae.
GGAUUCCCCUAGUAACUGCGAGUGAAGCGGGAAAAGCUCAAAUUUAAAAUCUGGCAGUCUCUGGCUGUCCGAGUUGUAAUCUAGAGAAGUAAUGCCCGUGCUGGACCGUGUAUAAGUCUCCUGGGAUGGGGCGUCAUAGAGGGUGAGAAUCCCGUCUUUGACACGGACUACCAGUGCAUUGUGGUAUGCUCUCAAAGAGUCGAGUUGUUUGGGAAUGCAGCUCAAAAUGGGUGGUAAAUUCCAUCUAAAGCUAAAUAUUGGCGAGAGACCGAUAGCGAACAAGUACCGUGAGGGAAAGAUGAAAAGAACUUUGGAAAGAGAGUUAAACAGUACGUGAAAUUGCUGAAAGGGAAACGCUUGAAGUCAGUCGCGUUGGCCGGGAAUCAGCCUUGCUUCUGCACGGUGUACUUUCUGGUUGACGGGUCAGCAUCAAUUUUGACCGCUGGAAAAAGGCCUGGGGAAUGUGGCAGCUUCGGCUGUGUUAUAGCCCCUAGUCGCAUACAGUGGUUGGGAUUGAGGAACUCAGCACGCCGCAAGGCCGGGUUUCGACCACGUUCGUGCUUAGGAUGCUGGCAUAAUGGCUUUAAGCGACCCGUCUUGAAACACGGACCAAGGAGUCUAACAUGCCUGCGAGUAUUUGGGUGGAAAACCCAAGUGCGUAAUGAAAGUGAAAGUUGAGAUCCCUGUCGCGGGGAGCAUCGACGCCCGGACCAGAACUUUUGGGACGGAUCCGCGGUGGAGCAUGUAUGUUGGGACCCGAAAGAUGGUGAACUAUGCCUGAAUAGGGUGAAGCCAGAGGAAACUCUGGUGGAGGCUCGUAGCGAUUCUGACGUGCAAAUCGAUCGUCAAAUUUGGGUAUAGGGGCGAAAGACUAAUCGA